CAGCUCUUCUUCCAGGCAAACUUUCUGCGGGCUCCCUCUUGGCCUGGCUUCUUCCGUUCUCUCACACGUGGGUCAGUAGUAAGCAGUCCAGCUUGUCUCAUCCACUCGACCUCGUCCUCAGUGAGAAAGCUGCACAAGGCUUUUGCCAUUGCCAAUCGUACUGCUCCAGCCUGUGCCGACCUCCCACCCCCUGAGACUGUGCAGAUCACAUCGUGUUUCCCAAGCCAGUCAACAAAGUGGAAAGGGAACAUCAGCUGUUCUCUGCCCUGCAUGAUUG
Molecule: long non-coding RNA, 277 nt
Organism: Sapajus apella (tufted capuchin)
Lineage: Eukaryota; Metazoa; Chordata; Mammalia; Primates; Cebidae
Exons: 3
Source: RefSeq, a predicted model, not a curated record